Molecule: ribosomal RNA, 484 nt
Filed under: uncultured bacterium
Lineage: Bacteria
Description: partial 16S ribosomal RNA
Rfam family: Bacterial small subunit ribosomal RNA
Source: RNAcentral
AUUGAACGCUGGCGGCAGGCCUAACACAUGCAAGUCGAGCGGAUGAAGGGAGCUUGCUCCUGGAUUCAGCGGCGGACGGGUGAGUAAUGCCUAGGAAUCUGCCUGGUAGUGGGGGAUAACGUCCGGAAACGGGCGCUAAUACCGCAUACGUCCAGAGGGUGAAAGUGGGGGAUCUUCGGACCUCACGCUAUCAUAUGAAUUUAGGCCGGAUUGGCUAGUUGGUGGGGUAAAGGCCUACCAAGGCGACGAUCCGUAACUGGUCUGAGAGGAUGAUCAGUCACACUGGAACGGAGACAGGGUCAAGACUCCUACGGGAGGCAGCAGUGGGGAAUAUUGGACAGAGGGCGAAAGCCUGAUCCAGCCAUGCCGCGUGUGUGAAGAAGGUCUUCGGAUUGUAAAGCACUUUAAGUUGGGAGAAAGGGCAGUAAGUUAAUACCUUGCUGUUUUGACGUUACCAACAGAAUAAGCACCGGCUAACUACGUG